AUAAAAUCUGCUCAUAAUCUAGAGACAAAAAUUCUUGUUCUAACAAAUACUUCAUUGUAAACCAUGUACGAACUGACCAUUUUCCUUCCCGCUUCCUUUUAAAUUGUAGCCAUUCUGACCAAGUAGAAGCACUGCCUUUUAACCGAAAAGCCACCAAUUGAACUUGUUUUUCAAGUGCUAUAUCCACAUGGUUAAAGAACCUAUCCACAUUCGCAAUCCAAUU
Molecule: unclassified non-coding RNA, 223 nt
Filed under: Hevea brasiliensis (rubber tree)
Lineage: Eukaryota; Viridiplantae; Streptophyta; Magnoliopsida; Malpighiales; Euphorbiaceae
Source: RNAcentral